AUGCAUGUCUAAGCACAAGCCCCGGCACGGCUAAGCUGCGAAUGGCUCAUUAGAUCGGCUAUAAUUCAUUAGAUGAUACUAUCCUACUCGGACAACUGUGGUAAUUCUAGAGCUAAUACGUGCGACGCGGGCUCCGACCUCUGAUCGGGGAAGAGCCGGUUUUAUUAGAUACAAAACCAGACGGGCCCCCGCACGGGGGUCCGGCCUGACUGGAAUCUGAAUAACUUUGAGCAGACCGCAGGGCCCAGCGCCGGCGGCGUAUCUUUCAAGUGUCCGCCCUAUCAACUGUCGUUGGUAAGGUAUCGGCUUACCAAGGUGUUUACGGGUAACGGAGAAUUAGGGUUCGGUUCCGGAGAGGGAGCAUGAGAAACGGCUACCACA
Molecule: ribosomal RNA, 381 nt
Filed under: Siphonosoma vastum
Lineage: Eukaryota; Metazoa; Annelida; Sipuncula; Golfingiida; Sipunculidae
Description: SSU rRNA
Rfam family: Eukaryotic small subunit ribosomal RNA
Source: RNAcentral